UUUGAACAGCAGCAGUUAAAAUUGUUAGAAAUAAAUCAAGGAAAGUUUUGGAUCAUGAUUUAGGCAAGUGCUAUUAAGGGCCCAAAUAACUGAUAUUAUAUUGUAAUUAUAGUGGAGACGAGUCUAUAAAUGUAGUUUAGCCACAAAUGAGAAUCUUUUUAACUUUCAGCUGUCUCUCUGAAUGACACAGAAAACAGGAGUGCGCAAACUCAGCUUGGAGAAGUCAUAGAAGCUGUAUCAAUAGCUACCAUAUUUGAUGGAGAAGCAGCAGAUCCAGUCACAGGUAAGGUCUACGAGUACAACUCUCAGUCUGGAGCCAGGAGGUGGAAGGAGACUGAAAACUGGAGCACAGCAUAAAUCACCACACGAAAUGUCGGAGGAUCACUUACUGCACAAAAGUGCUUGGUGGAGCAGCAGUGAGCAUCAUAGGGUGGGCACCUGAUCAUGGCUUCUUCCCAAACCCCCCCUGUGGAGUAUCAGGCAUGGAACUGCUAGCCAGCCUGCUUUUCUCUGAAGUAAAAGCAACUUCCUCUUCUCACAUUGUAUUUGCAGACCUUUGUUUUACUCUAUUACAAAUGAAUUUACUAUAA
Molecule: long non-coding RNA, 590 nt
Organism: Polypterus senegalus (gray bichir)
Lineage: Eukaryota; Metazoa; Chordata; Cladistia; Polypteriformes; Polypteridae
Exons: 3
Source: RefSeq, a predicted model, not a curated record